GGGAACAUACCCUUUUCUACGGAAUAGCUCUGGGAAACUGGAAUUAAUACCGUAUACGCCCUACGGGGGAAAGAUUUAUCGGGGAAGGAUUGGCCCGCGUUGGAUUAGCUAGUUGGUGGGGUAAAGGCCUACCAAGGCGACGAUCCAUAGCUGGUCUGAGAGGAUGAUCAGCCACAUUGGGACUGAGACACGGCCCAAACUCCUACGGGAGGCAGCAGUGGGGAAUAUUGGACAAUGGGCGCAAGCCUGAUCCAGCCAUGCCGCGUGAGUGAUGAAGGCCUUAGGGUUGUAAAGCUCUUUCACCGAUGAAGAUAAUGACGGUAGUCGGAGAAGAAGCCCCGGCUAACUUCGUGCCAGCAGCCGCGGUAAUACGAAGGGGGCUAGCGUUGUUCGGAAUUACUGGGCGUAAAGCGCACGUAGGCGGAUAUUUAAGUCAGGGGUGAAAUCCCAGAGCUCAACUCUGGAACUGCCUUUGAUACUGGGUAUCUUGAGUAUGGAAGAGGUAAGUGGAAUUGCGGGU
Molecule: ribosomal RNA, 520 nt
Filed under: uncultured bacterium
Lineage: Bacteria
Description: bacterial SSU rRNA
Rfam family: Bacterial small subunit ribosomal RNA
Source: RNAcentral